This 563-nucleotide small RNA is filed under the name Stylophora mamillata. RNAcentral describes it as "eukaryotic LSU rRNA". The stretch from base 334 to 563 matches the Rfam family "Eukaryotic large subunit ribosomal RNA", at positions 1 to 226 of the family's 3401-position model. Lineage: Eukaryota; Metazoa; Cnidaria; Anthozoa; Scleractinia; Pocilloporidae. The record is from RNAcentral.
GCAGAAUUCAGUGAAUCAUCGAAUCUUUGAACGCAAAUGGCGCUCUUGGGUUCUCCCAGGAGCAUGUCUGUCUGAGUGUCUUUUUCGUUGAAUGACAUUCGCACGAUGUGGCCGUGUCAUGCACUGGCGUUUCGUGCGGCGUUGAGGUUCGCGGCCUUGCUAUUCUUAGGCCGCGUGCCUUUAAAUGGAGGAGGAAGAUGGGCUCAAGGUCCGGUGCAGUCGCAUGCGGAUUCAGUUCAUGUGCCGCAUGUGACUGCUGCACCGGGAAUAUUGUCCUCGGCCCUCUACCUCGUGACCUUUAGCACGACGCUCGUUCGUUCGUUGCUUGCCGCCAGACCUCAGAUCAGGCAAGGCUACCCGCUGAAUUUAAGCAUAUCAAUAAGCGGAGGAAAAGAAACUAACAAGGAUUCCCCCAGUAACGGCGAGUGAAGCGGGAAGAGCUCAAAUUUGAAAUCUCCGAUGCCUGCAUCGGCGAGUUGUAGUUGCGAGAAGCACUUUCUAGGCGGAAGGGCCCUGCCUAAGUUGCUUGGAACAGCACGUCGCAGAGGGUGACAACCCCGUCU